This 468-nucleotide ribosomal RNA is filed under the name uncultured bacterium. Its description in RNAcentral is "partial 16S ribosomal RNA". It matches the Rfam family "Bacterial small subunit ribosomal RNA", at positions 28 to 507 of the family's 1533-position model. The record is from RNAcentral.
GAUGAACGCUGGCGGCGUGCUUAACACAUGCAAGUCGAACGGAAAGGCCCUGCUUUUGCGGGGUGCUCGAGUGGCGAACGGGUGAGUAACACGUGAGUAACCUGCCCUUGACUUUGGGAUAACUUCAGGAAACUGGGGCUAAUACCGGAUAGGAGCUCCUGCUGCAUGGUGGGGGUUGGAAAGUUUCGGCGGUUGGGGAUGGACUCGCGGCUUAUCAGCUUGUUGGUGGGGUAGUGGCUUACCAAGGCUUUGACGGGUAGCCGGCCUGAGAGGUUGGCCGGACACAUUGGAACUGAAAUGCGGCCCAGACUCCUACGGUAGGCAACGGUGGAGAAUAGUGCACUAUGGGCGGAGGCCUGAUGCAGCAACGCCGCGUGGGGGAAGACGGCCUUCAGGUUGUAAACCGCUUUCGCAUGUGACGAAGCGUGAGUGACGGUAAUGGGUAAAGAAGCACCGGCUAACUACGUG